Molecule: ribosomal RNA, 162 nt
Filed under: Commidendrum rotundifolium
Lineage: Eukaryota; Viridiplantae; Streptophyta; Magnoliopsida; Asterales; Asteraceae
Description: 5.8S ribosomal RNA
Rfam family: 5.8S ribosomal RNA
About the family: 5.8S ribosomal RNA (5.8S rRNA) is a component of the large subunit of the eukaryotic ribosome. It is transcribed by RNA polymerase I as part of the 45S precursor that also contains 18S and 28S rRNA. Functionally, it is thought that 5.8S rRNA may be involved in ribosome translocation.
Source: RNAcentral
AAACGACUCUCGGCAACGGAUAUCUCGGCUCACGCAUCGRUGAAGAACGUAGCAAAAUGCGAUACUUGGUGUGAAUUGCAGAAUCCCGUGAACCAUCGAGUUUUUGAACGCAAGUUGCGCCCGAAGCCAUUCGGCCGAGGGCACGUCUGCCUGGGCGUCACG